AUAAAGUUUAUAAAAUUUAUAUUUUUUAGUUCAAAACUAAAUGUGAUCCAUCACUAAAACUUAA
This 64-nucleotide transfer RNA is filed under the name Liposcelis sculptilimacula. RNAcentral describes it as "tRNA-Gln". The record is from RNAcentral. Lineage: Eukaryota; Metazoa; Arthropoda; Insecta; Psocodea; Liposcelididae.